Molecule: non-coding RNA, 22 nt
Filed under: Arabidopsis thaliana (thale cress)
Lineage: Eukaryota; Viridiplantae; Streptophyta; Magnoliopsida; Brassicales; Brassicaceae
Source: RNAcentral
UUGAGGUGUUACCAGAAUUUGC